CAGCAGCCGCGGGAAUACGUAGGUGGCAAGCGUUAUCCGGAAUUAUUGGGCGUAAAGCGCGCGUAGGCGGUUUUUUAAGUCUGAUGUGAAAGCCCACGGCUCAACCGUGGAGGGUCAUUGGAAACUGGAAAACUUGAGUGCAGAAGAGGAAAGUGGAAUUCCAUGUGUAGCGGUGAAAUGCGCAGAGAUAUGGAGGAACACCAGUGGCGAAGGCGACUUUCUGGUCUGUAACUGACGCUGAUGUGCGAAAGCGUGGGGAUCAAACAGGAUUAGAUACCCCAGUAGUCCCUGUCUCUUAUAC
This 301-nucleotide ribosomal RNA is filed under the name uncultured bacterium. RNAcentral describes it as "partial 16S ribosomal RNA". It matches the Rfam family "Bacterial small subunit ribosomal RNA", at positions 509 to 807 of the family's 1533-position model. The record is from RNAcentral.